RNAcentral lists this long non-coding RNA (900 nucleotides) under Cavia porcellus (domestic guinea pig). RNAcentral's name for it is "lncRNA (ENSCPOG00000030453.1)". The record is from RNAcentral. Lineage: Eukaryota; Metazoa; Chordata; Mammalia; Rodentia; Caviidae.
GCCGGCGUGAGCGUCGGCGUCCUCGCGCACGAGCUGCGGCUGCGAAGCGCGGCUGUUUAUCUCACGCUGCUGCGGCCGCGUGCGUGGCAGGUUCCCGCACCGGGAUGCCCCCUCUGCCCACACCGGCUUCCAACGCCUGGUUGGCUCCUCCCCACGCCCCUACCGGGCCGAGCCCGCGUCCCGCUUUGCUGUGGACUCCGCGCGUGCGCGGCCCUUUCUCCCUGCCGCCGAUGCCUCCCGAGCCCGCCGCUGUGCGGCCUGCCUGCCCCUCCGGCUCCAGGAGACGCCCUCUGCCGUCACCUCGCUUGGCGUCCAGAUGUAAAGACUGUCUCUUUCCAGCGUUUUCCUGCUGUUACCACGGCGCGGUGACUUCUGAGCUUGCUGUUGGCAUAAAAGAGAAGAGAACAUUCUGGCUGGUUUCAAGAGGAAUCACAGUGAGUUCAAGCUCAAAGGAUGAAUGCCCAGAAGUACCAAAGUUCCUGCCAGAUAAUGAGUCGACUCAGCUGCUGAAGUGUAAAAAACAUUUACAGCGUUGUGGAGGUGGAGAAUAAAACCCCAGCACAAUGUCCCACUUGAGAGUCUCUAGUCCAGCUAAAGACAGCAGUGUGCAGCAGUGUGCGGUGUGUACUUCAGGCCUGUGGUACUGUAUGGGGAAACUACAUUAAAAAACGAGAAAAGUUCAAGUUAUCAAAUAUGCAGUGAUAUGCCGGGAAGCCAUGGGGAUGCCCCAGUUUCUCUCAGUGACUUUUUUGUCCAAACAAAACAAAAAAAGCUUUUCCAAGAGUGCGAGAGCAUGCAUGGCUGCUGGUUCCUUGACAAUGGCAUUUUCAAAGAUGUUUAGUUUAUUUUCUGUCCAUUGCCCUUGCAAGACAACUGGCUGGGAUUAAAGGAAACACUGCA